RNAcentral lists this ribosomal RNA (425 nucleotides) under uncultured bacterium. Its description in RNAcentral is "partial 16S ribosomal RNA". It matches the Rfam family "Bacterial small subunit ribosomal RNA", at positions 354 to 796 of the family's 1533-position model. The record is from RNAcentral.
GUGGGGAAUAUUGCACAAUGGGGGAAACCCUGAUGCAGCGACGCCGCGUGAGUGAAGAAGUAUUUCGGUAUGUAAAGCUCUAUCAGCAGGGAAGAAAUUGACGGUACCUGACUAAGAAGCCCCGGCUAACUACGUGCCAGCAGCCGCGGUAAUACGUAGGGGGCAAGCGUUAUCCGGAUUUACUGGGUGUAAAGGGAGCGUAGACGGCAUGGCAAGUCAGAUGUGAAAACCCGGGGCUUAACCCCGGGAUUGCAUUUGAAACUGUCAGGCUGGAGUGCGGGAGAGGUAAGUGGAAUUCCUAGUGUAGCGGUGAAAUGCGUAGAUAUUCGGAGGAACACCAGUGGCGAAGGCGGCUCACUGGCUCGAUACUGACGCUGAGGUGCGAAAGCGUGGGGAGCAAACAGGAUUAGAUACCCCUGUAGUCC